RNAcentral lists this long non-coding RNA (1411 nucleotides) under Gossypium barbadense (sea-island cotton). RNAcentral's name for it is "long non-coding RNA (GBAR_LNC012127)". Lineage: Eukaryota; Viridiplantae; Streptophyta; Magnoliopsida; Malvales; Malvaceae. The record is from RNAcentral.
UGUUUGUUUGUUGGAAAAUGAAUUCCCAUAUGAAAACAUUUUACAAACACGGGUAAAAUCCGAAGCUUUUUUUUAGAAAUUGUCUUACCCAUUUCUCUACCGUAAGACAUUUUCCCUUUCUCCUUUCUCUUCUUCAACCUUCUUCAACCUUCUUCUGUUAUCUCUAUCUGCUAAGGUCGGCAUAUCGCAAAAGAUUCGGCCCUCUGCUAAGAGUGGUUCCAGUUGAUUUACCUCCCCAUUUUUGAGUUUUCUUCUAUCCACUCUUUUCUUUUUUCUCAAUUUUCCUAUGGUUGAAUGGAAGUCUGGAAGGGAAGGAGUGGGAAUUGAAAUUUUUUAAUUUAAUCAUUAAAUUACAAAUAAUUGACUUCUAAUGAAUUUUUAAUAUGAGGUUAAGUCCAUUUUGGUUUAAUACAUAAUAUUAAAAAAAAAUUUCUUGUUUUCUCUUUUGAACUUCAUUUUUAAAGUUCCAAAAGAAGUUUCGUUUUGAAGAAGGUUAUAUGUUAGACUAAGCUGGGUUUUAUUUAUUUAUUUAUUUAUUACUGAGUUUUCGUUCUUUUUUCUUCUGUUAAUUACGCGUUUAACUUUUUUUUAAAAUUAAUUUCAGUUUUUAUUUUAAUUGUUUAGUUACUUGAGUUAAAAAAAUCGUUUUCAGGCGUUUGAUUUUGUCGAUGGAGGAUGGUGGUUGUGCGAGUCUCUCGGAGCUGAGAUUCAUGGAUUUCAUACAUUGCAAGGUAUAUUAUACAGAAUUUGUUUUUAUUAGUUUUAAUAUUUUUUUUCUGAUUCUAUGAAUUGAUCUUAUAACGUGUGUUAGAAUUUAAUGUGCUGAAAAUUGUUUGAUCGCUGUAAAUGGUCCAUAGUAUUUACUUGUUAGCUUUUUCGUGAGUAAUUUCUUACUCUUUUUGUGGGAGUUUUUGCUCUUUGAAAGCUAGAGAAGUGGUUGAUUUUGUUUCAAGCAAAUAUCAAAUUCACAUAAACAUUUGCUUGUGAAGUGUUAGUUGAGCUUCAGGGACUGUUAAAUUUUGUUCAUAUCGUGCUUUGGAGUGCAAUUAUGCAAAUCUCUUUGUUUUGCUAAUUUUUUUAUUUUAUUUUUUAAAUUUGUUUCUGUUGGAUAUGGAUAGAUUUGGAUGUUAAAAACAUGUUGGAAGAAGCCAAGUCAAGAUGGUUACGCCCAAAUGAGAUUCAUGCUAUACUGUGCAACCAUAGAUAUUUCUCCAUUUAAGCGAAGCCAGUGAACAUGCCGAAAAGUAACUAUAGAUAAAAAUUAAAUUCUGUUUGUUCCCCUCAUCUAUACGCCCCCACAUGAGUGAACACAGAAGAAGUUUACUACUUACUAAUGAAUAUAACUCCCUUAUCAUUAUAGGUGGUACUAUUGUAUUGUUUGAUCGAAAGAUGCCGAGGAACUUUUGAAAAG